UAAAAAAAAUGAUGGCUAAAUCAUCCAAUAGUCUUUCUUUCUGUCGAUCUCGGUUCUUGUCACUCUUUUCGUCAGUCUGUCUACCACGAGA
RNAcentral lists this non-coding RNA (91 nucleotides) under Hanusia phi. The record is from RNAcentral. Lineage: Eukaryota; Cryptophyceae; Pyrenomonadales; Geminigeraceae.